This 375-nucleotide long non-coding RNA is filed under the name Salmo salar (Atlantic salmon). RNAcentral's name for it is "lncRNA (ENSSSAG00000108521.1)". The record is from RNAcentral. Lineage: Eukaryota; Metazoa; Chordata; Actinopteri; Salmoniformes; Salmonidae.
GGUCAGGCAGGGAACACUGACACUGGAGCGCGCAUGCACGAGAGGACUCCAUGUUUUUCUUUCUCUCUUUGAACGAAUACAACAUCGCCGGUUGGAAUAUUAUCGCUAUUUUACGAGAAAUAUCGCAUAAAAAUGUAUUUUAAACAGCGUUUGACAUGCUUCGAAGUACGGUAAUGGAAUAUUUUGACAUUUUUUGUCACGAAAAUCGCCCGCGCGUCACCCUUCGGAUACUGACCUCAAUGCACGAACAAAACGGAGCUAUUUGGAUAAAACUAUGGAUUAUUUUGAACCAAAACAACAUUUGUUGUUGAAGUAGAAGCCCUGGGAGUGCAUUCUGACGAAGAACAGCAAAGGUGUAAUGUUCGUCGUAUGUGG